Molecule: microRNA precursor, 101 nt
Filed under: Podarcis lilfordi (Lilford's wall lizard)
Lineage: Eukaryota; Metazoa; Chordata; Lepidosauria; Squamata; Lacertidae
Source: RNAcentral
UUUCACACACACACACACACACACACACACACACACACUUUAAGCUCAAGUAUCAUCUCACAUUGCACUGUGUGUGUGUGUGUGUGUGUGUGUGUGUGAAU